Molecule: ribosomal RNA, 403 nt
Filed under: Fusobacteriota bacterium
Lineage: Bacteria; Fusobacteriati; Fusobacteriota
Description: Fusobacteria bacterium partial 16S ribosomal RNA
Rfam family: Bacterial small subunit ribosomal RNA
Source: RNAcentral
UGGGGAAUAUUGCACAAUGGAGGGAACUCUGAUGCAGCGACGCCGCGUGAACGAAGAAGGCUUUCGAGUCGUAAAGUUCUUUUAUAUGGGAAGAUAAUGACGGUACCAUAAGAAAAAGCCCCGGCUAACUACGUGCCAGCAGCCGCGGUAAUACGUAGGGGGCUAGCGUUGUCCGGAAUCACUGGGCGUAAAGGGUUCGCAGGCGGAAAUGCAAGUCAGGUGUAAAAGGCAGUAGCUUAACUACUGUAAGCAUUUGAAACUGGAUAUCUUGAGAAGAGGAGAGGUAAGUGGAAUUUUUAGUGUAGCGGUGAAAUGCGUAGAUAUUAAAAAGAAUACCGGUGGCGAAGGCGACUUACUGGGCUCAUUCUGACGCUGAGGAACGAAAGCGUGGGUAGCAAACAGG